GACGAACGCUGGCGGCGUGCUUAACACAUGCAAGUCGAACGGAAAGGCCCUGCUUUUGUGGGGUGCUCGAGUGGCGAACGGGUGAGUAACACGUGAGUAACCUGCCCUUGACUUUGGGAUAACUUCAGGAAACUGGGGCUAAUACCGGAUAGGAGCUCCUGCUGCAUGGUGGGGGUUGGAAAGUUUCGGCGGUUGGGGAUGGGCUCGCGGCUUAUCAGCUUGUUGGUGGGGUAGUGGCUUACCAAGGCUUUGACGGGUAGCCGGCCUGAGAGGGUGACCGGCCACAAUGGGACUGCGAUACGGCCCAGACUCCUACGGGAGGCAGCAGUGGGGAAUAUUGCACAAUGGGCGGAAGCAUGAUGCAGCAACGCCGCGUGCGGGAUGACGGCCUUCGGGUUGUAAACCGUAUUCGCCUGUGACGAAGCGUGAGUGACGGUAAUGGGUAAAGAAGCACCGGCUAACUACGUG
Molecule: ribosomal RNA, 468 nt
Filed under: uncultured bacterium
Lineage: Bacteria
Description: partial 16S ribosomal RNA
Rfam family: Bacterial small subunit ribosomal RNA
Source: RNAcentral